Long non-coding RNA from Amaranthus tricolor (Joseph's coat), 2019 nucleotides. RefSeq lists it as uncharacterized. Lineage: Eukaryota; Viridiplantae; Streptophyta; Magnoliopsida; Caryophyllales; Amaranthaceae. The transcript is spliced from 3 exons. The record is from RefSeq and is a predicted model, not a curated record.
ACAAAAACAACAAAAAACAAACACCCAAAAUCCUCCUCUCUUUCUCCCUCACGCGUAUCAACCAAAGAAAAAUCAGAUAUCCAUCUUCUUCCUUCUCGCCAUUUUUUCUCUGAUUCCUUCUCGCCAUUUUAAGAUUUCUUUCUUGAAAUUUGCUACAAUUGAUUAAUCUUCUUCCUCAUUCAAUCUAUUGAUUAUCGAGUGCAAACCUUGUAAUCUUGAUCUGAAGUUUCAAAGAAUUCAGCCCUAGCAUAGCCUCCUCCUUUGAAGCAUUCUUCUUCGAAAAACAACAAUGGCGCGAUUCGAACCAUCUUCUUCCUCUAAUCUUCGAAAAAAUGCAUCAGGUUAACGUUUAACUUCUUUAGUGUUGGAUCGUGGGAAGAAGCAAGUGUAUUCAUCCUCAAUCUUAACUGUUAAAGUCUUCGAUGAAAACCUCAUUUCCGUCCGUACGUGUAACUACCAUCCUAGUCUUUCAUUUUCCCUCUGAUUUUCGUUGAGCAUACAUGGAUUGAAGCACUUUUUCACUUACAAUCGGACGGAAAAUACGACUAUUACUGAAUAUAGAACCGGACUUUUCUUUAUCCAGUUGCAACCGAAAGUGAGGAGGCGACAUCAUCGAAGAACCCUUCUAGUUGAUAGCUGCGAUCUGGUUUUGACUCCUUGAAGCAUCUUUUGCGGUGAGUAGUAAUAGUCCCUUAGGGUCUGGCCAGAAUAUUGUUUUGAAAAUAUUUUUUAUCAAAUUGUUUUGAAUGGAUAAUUAUUGAAGCAAAUUCAUUAUGAUGAUUAUGUUGAUAUUAAUAGGGUCAAUGGAUCGGGCUCACGAGCUGGUCAUUGACGGAGUAGAGGGAAAAUCUCCCUUAUUCCCUUUAUGAGGUGAAUUGUCAUUCAAAUAUUGACUAGCCUCACCCGAGAGUGACAUAGCCUUAGAGCUAUGGAUGUUCCUCUCAUCUAGACUCCCUGUGCGCACAUAGAUCUAGGAAACUGAUGUUGCUUUUAAACCUUUGUUUUGAUCUACUGUGUUUUGUUGUUUUGGAUUGUUACUUCUCAUUCAGUUUAAUCUGAAUCUCUGUUGUUUCCAACUUUUAGUUUGAUUACAGAUAGGAACCGGUUAGGAACGAUGGGUCAGCGGAGUUGAUUAGAGUUCUAGGGAUGUAUGUUGAGCUGAGCACGUGAGAAUUUGUAGUUUUGUAUUAGGUUUUUGGAUAAAUGUAUAUUAGACUUGGUUGUGUUGGUUAUAUUGGACUUGAAGUGAAUUGUAUGAUUACCUUGUAUUUUUAGUUAGAUGUUUGGUUUGAGAAUUAUUUGAGUUAGUUAUGUUAAAGAGCUGGUGACCUCUUUGCUCAAGUUUUGUAAGUGUAAUUUAAGUGUCUUGGAAAAUGAACCCCGUGAUGACCCUGUUUACUCAGUCUACGAUAAGUCGGGUUGUUGCACCCCCAACCUUUGUCUACUUUUAUCCCAAACCCUAGACUUCAUAGUCCCCCACUAAACCCCAUAAGCCAUUAAGAUAACCUUUUGGUAGAGGGUAAUCAAGAGUCUACGGUUGAGGAUGCUCAAGCAUUUAAGGGUCAAGCAUCUAAAGUUGGGGUUAGUGAAGUUUAUGAUGGUGAAGGGAGCGAAUAGUUUGAGGAUGCACUUAGUGAAGGCUUGGAUGAGAAAGAUGUAAGUGAGUCAAGUGAUGGGGUGGGUGAUGAUGAUAGUGAGGAUAAGAGCUAUUGUGUAAGUGCUGAGUUAGAAGAAAGUGAAGAGGAGAGUUAUACAGAUAGUGAAGGGGUGGGUGAACAUGAAUAGCCUAAACAAUUGGGUGAUGCUGUAAUAGCUUUGAAUUUGAGCAGGGAUAAUGUUUCAGAUUAUGAUGAAAGUGAUGAAGAAGAGGCACAUGUCGUGAAUGAGCACACUAACUGAAAAAAUUCAAAUGGUGUGUAGGUGCUAGCUUCUCAAACCCAAAUGCAUUUAAGGAUGCAGUGACACAAUACGCACUAGCACAAGGUAGAAGUUUAAAAAUAGUUGUGAGUGAUAAGAAAA